This 492-nucleotide ribosomal RNA is filed under the name uncultured bacterium. RNAcentral describes it as "partial 16S ribosomal RNA". It matches the Rfam family "Bacterial small subunit ribosomal RNA", at positions 29 to 507 of the family's 1533-position model. The record is from RNAcentral.
AGUGAACGCUGGCGGUAGGCCUAACACAUGCAAGUCGAACGGCAGCACAGUAAGAGCUUGCUCUUACGGGUGGCGAGUGGCGGACGGGUGAGGAAUACAUCGGAAUCUACUUUUUCGUGGGGGAUAACGUAGGGAAACUUACGCUAAUACCGCAUACGACCUACGGGUGAAAGCAGGGGAUCUUCGGACCUUGCGCGAUUGAAUGAGCCGAUGUUGGAUUAGCUAGUUGGCGGGGUAAAGGCCCACCAAGGCGACGAUCCGUAGCUGGUCUGAGAGGAUGGUCGGCCACACUGGAACUGGGACACGGUCCAGACUCCUACGGGAGGCAGCAGUGGGGAAUAUUGGACAAUGGGCGCAAGCCUGAUCCAGCCAUACCGCGUGUGUGAAGAAGGCGUUCGGGUUGUAAAGCCCUUUUGUUGGGAAAGAAAAGCAGCAGGUUAAGACCCCGCUGUUCUGACGGUACCCAAAGAAUAAGCACCGGCUAACUUCGUG